Molecule: ribosomal RNA, 253 nt
Filed under: uncultured bacterium
Lineage: Bacteria
Description: partial 16S ribosomal RNA
Rfam family: Bacterial small subunit ribosomal RNA
Source: RNAcentral
GACAGAGGGUGCGAACGUUGUUCGGAAUUACUGGGCGUAAAGCGCAUGUAGGCGGCAUCGCAAGUCGGGCGUGAAAUCCCACGGCUCAACCGUGGAAGUGCACUCGAAACUGCGCAGCUAGAGUCCUGGAGAGGAAGGUGGAAUGCUUGGUGUAGAGGUGAAAUUCGUAGAUAUCAAGCGGAACACCGGUGGCGAAGGCGGCCUUCUGGACAGUGACUGACGCUGAGAUGCGAAAGCGUGGGGAGCAAACAGG